CCACCCCCGUCCUGGCCCCUGAACAGCACACCAAAGCCACCAGACGGGGACCCCAGCUCCUUUGGACGGGUUGGCAGGCAGCAGGGCCCAAGGACCCAGAAGGGCCAGUGAGGACGCGUCUGGAUCCCCAGAGCUGCGCCCCGCCGGCACCGGCCAGGCACUACCCAUGUUCUGAGAGGACCCACGACGGGGACAGGCGGCACCCAGACCCCCUCGAAGGCGGAGCUGUUGCUUCCCAGUUCGCAGAUCGGGAAACUGAGUCCUGGGGGUAGAGGGCAGGGCCCCAGCCCCCUGACAGCCCGGGUCGUGUGCCCCGCCCUGUAGGAAGGAAGGGCCGAGCUCUCCUGUGCCCAGCACCCGAGGCUCCCUCCACUGGCCGGAAACUGAGGCCCCUUGCACAACCGGCCAGCCCGGGAGGGGUCCUGCGCCAUGUGUGGGGGGCGAUGCCACCUGCGCCUCUCCCCCUGCUUCGUCUCUGCGCCCCAGCUCCAUCUCCUCCGCCCUCUUCCCUCCUCCUCCGCCUCCUUCCUUCCUUCCUCUCCCUCCGAUCCUGCAGCUCCCCCCACAGAGCCCUGAGGAGAAUGCGCUGUGCUCACCACAGCCAUUGUCUAGCUCUGGACGACUUCCUGCCGCUGAUCAGGACUGGGGCCACCGUGGGGGUGACUGGGGCUAGACUGCAGGGAGGAGGUGCUGUGCUUCGGCAGGCAGGGGCGUCCCUCUCUGAGCCUCAGUGUCCUCGCCUGUAAGACAGGGACCAUCUUGCCAGGUGAGGUGACGCGUGCCUGUCAUCCCAGCACUCGGGAGGCUGAGGCAGGAGGGUCACCCUGAGUUCAAGGCCUGGAGUGAGACUGUUUCAAAGAAAAACAAGGAAAGAAAGAAAUGAGGCCCAUUCUGAUGGCUCCCUAAGUCGACUGUGACACCUAGGGAAUGACCCUAACAGAGGUCAUCUGGCCUGCACGUCAUGGGCACUUGGCUAACCCUGGUCCACUAGAGGUCAAAGCCCAGGCCAGCAGGGCCACCCCCUCCACACCACCCCGGCAGGGCUGAGUCCUUGAGCCCUUUCCUAGAAGCACCAGCAGGGGAGAACUCGAAGCCAGACCUGGGGCUUCUGGUGGGGCAGGGUGACAGAGGAGGGAGGAGUGCACCCCAGGUCUUGGCCUGCUGGGUGCCGGGGUGCCCUCCUGAAGGGGUUUGAGGAGAGGGUGGGUGGCCAGUGCCAACCCUAAGCACGCGAGUGCCCGUGGCUGUGGAAACUGGCUGUGGUGGCUGGCGUCUGUCCCUGUCCCUCUUCAGUAGGAAGAAGGACUCAAACCCUAAAGUGGCACUGGCUUUCUCAAGUCCGCUUCCAGUGCCUGCUUCUUGCCACACAUACAGCGGUGGGAAUUGCCUCAGAACCAGGCGCCAGGCACAGGGACGAGUGGGAGGCCAAGGUGACAGCAAUGCGGGGCACAUCCCUGUCCAGGCUCAAGGCUGGUGGCUGGGCCUUCCCCACACCCGUCUCCAGCGCUGCCUGUCCCCUCCAUGCUCCGGCUGCCCUGGCUGUCUGGGACAGGGAGGAGGAGGGCAACAGCAAUACCAGGAAGGGGAGGAGGUGGAAAUGUUUUUCUUCUUCGACUAGAAAAAACAACAGUGGGCCGAGCUGGCUGGAGGAGGGAUCCUGCCUGCGCCCUGUCCCCAUCUGCCUUCCGCCCCAGCCCUGCCUGUUUCCCCACAGGAAGCUCCCGACGCGCAGUUCCUCCCUGCGCCUUGUGGCCAGGAAGCUGCUGGUGACAAGGCCAGGACACGACCACCGAGGCUCCCUGCAGACGGGGCUGCUGCCUACGCCACCCGCUCGGCCAGCCCUGCCCCUCACCAUGGCACCGAGCCCAGGGUGACCGCGCUGGCGCCUCUCUGUGAGCCUCACUUUCUGUGAUAUAUGCCACAGGGCUGCUGGAGCUGGAGCGAUGCAGAGGCUCUGAGAGGCCCCAGGGCCACCCGAGGCCACACCGUGCCUGUCCCUUCCUCGUGGCCCUCAUGUGAAGUCAGACAUUCCCUGCAGGCCCCAGCUCCAGGGAAAGCCAGGCUUUCCCUUCUGUACCUGCUCCCACUGCCAAAGCACCCUCCUGCCACCCCUGGGGUGCAGGAAAUGGUUCUCAUUCCUGGGUGUGAGUGGUGCCCUCUGACACCCAUGUCCUUGCCCUCUGUGGCUGGGGGACGAGCGCCCACGGCAGGCGCCUGGCCUGGGCUUGGCCUUUGUGCUCUGUGAGGGGACAAUGGGCGGCAUUCUCAGACGCCCUGUCAUGGGCCGCUCUGCUGGGGCCGUGGCUUCACAGUGAGGCCUCUGUCCAGUGCCACGGCGAGGGCACGGGCCCCACCCACGUCCCAGCCCUGAGACAGGACAGGAGGGAGGCAUGGGCUGUGCAGUCCUACUGUGUGUAGCUGCUUCCCUGCUGGGCCUUGCACAGAGCCAGGGCUAGUGGCUGCUGGACAGGUAAACUGAGGCCAAGAGGUGUGGCACUGGGCCUGUAUCCUGGCUGGGCAGGAACCCAGGGACCAGCAGUGGCUGUACCUGAGGCUCCGUGAUUGCACAGUGCAGCCUGAGCUGGGCACAGGGCCCUCCUAUCACAAGGCAGGGACUGAGUCCUCUGCAGAGGGGACACUGAGGCUGCAGAAAGAAUAAAUAGUGGUAGCAGAGGCCCCUCAGCCCUUCCGUGGGUGCCCAGUCCCAAGCACCUUGUGCAUGUUAAUUUAUUUGAACCUACAACAGUCCUACCAAGAAAGUAACGUUAUCCCACCCAUUUAUAGGUAGGGAAACCGAGGAGGGGCCAUGCCUUUUCCACAGCCGGCAGCUGGCAGGUGGCAGAGCCCUACUUUUCUGUUUUUGCCAUCUGGGAGGGGACCUGGGGCCUGGCGCUUGCUGGCAGGCACUGAGCACUAGGCCUAAGGACUGAGGUGGGGUGUCUGAGGCCUAGCCUGGCACACACUUCCUCCAGCCCAUCCUGGGUGGUCACAAGGGCAGAGCUGUUCCCCCACCAGGUCACCCUUAGUGACAGCAUAGAUACUGCAAGGACCCACUUGGGCUCUGAAUCUGGAAAGGGAAAGGGAGGAUGAGGGGUGAAUGCUCACACAGGGGUGAUGAGAGCCUGGCAUGGACCAGCAGGACCCAGGUCUGCCUGUCUCCCCGAGGCCCUGGCCCCUCCUGCUAUCCCAGAACUCCAGGGUUUUAGGGGCCGUCAGUCACCUGAACUCUGCUUAGGGGAGUUCCGUGUGCCCUUGGGUAGUGACUCCUGCUGGCCUUGGGAGUUCCAGACCUUGGCUCUGGACGGUUUAACCCCUGAGCUCAGGUGGCCCAGCAAGACCUUGGAUUGUCUCACCCCUGCCCUUGAGUUGUCUACUUCUGGCCUCAGAUGGUCCAGCCUCUGGCCUUGGGUGGUCUAGCCUGUGACCCCAAAUGGCCCACCUCUGACCUUGCAUGGUCCAGGUCUGGCCUGAGGCUCUGCAGCUCAGCCUCCCUUUCCCUGGCCGAGCCCCGUCUGCUGAGGAACUUGGAAGUGGUUCUUCAGGGACUUUUGGGUGACAUCAUUGCUCCUUACUCAAAAGUGGCCCUGCUGACCGCAGCCAGCUGUCCUGGGAUGAGCCACCAUCCUCAGCCUGUACUUCCCCCUACACUUCCCCAUCCCUACUGAGAAGCUGCCCCUGACCCCCAGCUGGGUCCCGGGUGUCCCUGAGUCCCCACCCCUUGUCCCCAGACACUCUUGCUGUCCGGUGCUCCAGCGGGGACCUCGGUUUUUGCAACAGCUCCUCCCCCAGCCAGGCUCAUGUCAAGCUGGGCUGUGCAGGGUCCCUGUGUCCCCUGUCACUGGCAGGAGUGGGCUGGGCAUGCUCACCAGGGAGGAUGAAUGGUGAUAUCCCCUCUCCUCUCUGGGUCCCACUCAUCACUCGCCUCUGGCAGGGAGGGCCUCAGCCCCUCUGCAGCCCCCUGGUGGGCAGCAGCUUGGCUGGUGGUGUCUGCAGUUUGUGCCCUCAGUACCCAACACAGGCCACAGAGAUGGGCACCUGUACCUGGCACAUGGCAGGAGCCAGGCCUACAGGAUUGGGCUGGAAAAGCCCUUUCAUCUGGAUAGAAGCUACCAGUGUGUGCAGAGUGGCCACAUGGGCAAGAAGAUAUGGCUCUGGGUGAAGGGCAAGUCCCGGCCAUGCAGUGCUGGGUGGGAACAUCUGGGGGUGACAGGGGGGCAGCAAGUGCAAAGGUCCCGGGGCCUCAUGGCCAUGGCUCUAGCCCUUUGCCUCUGCUCUCAGUAAGCGGGGAGGAGUUAGAGUUGGGGAGUCUUGGCGCCUCGGCAGAUGCUUCAGGCCCAUCUCUGACUUCUGCUGUCCCUGCCGGCUUCUUCCAGGUGAAAGUGCCCCAUGCCCCACGCCCCACCCGAGUGGCUAUGUGCCCUGGUUGACCAGCAGGGCCACAGCUCUACGCUGGCUGUCCCAAUGAUCUCUGUACCCAGGACCCCACUACCCAGGGAGUCCAGACGUCCUGUCCCUUCCCCCACCUGCUGUCCCUCCAGCCAAUGCUACUUCCCAAGGGUCCUUUCCUGUCUACUUUCUUUUUUUUUUUUUUUUGGUACCGGGGUUUGAACUCCGGACCUUGUGCUUGAGAGGCAGGCGGCAGAACCACUGAGCUAAAUCCCCAGCCCUCCUGUCCACUUUCUGCAAGCUCAACCCUGAAGCCAACUUGGCUCCCGGGAUGACACUGGUGAAACCCAGCCCCCCAAGUCCCUCUGCUGUGGCCUGUGCCUCAGUUUCUCUGGGGGUUGGGAGGCAUUGCUGAGGACCAUCAACCCCUGCCUCAAAUUGCAAGCCUAGGGUGACAGAAGCCUCUGAAUUCUCCAUGGACGUCGAGAGCAGAGCCUGGCACAGCCCCACACAGGGCCAGGCCGGAGCGAGAACCCUGGCGGGCAGUCAGGAGGGGAGAACACAGAGCCCCUGCAUCCCCCACCCCUCUCCUCAUCCUCUGCAGGCCGGAAGGAAGCCCAGGCGGGAGUCUGGCCCUCAGCUCCCAGAUGAGGAGAACUCGCUCAGAAGGAAAAUAACAUCAGUGCCAUUGUCCCGGCUCCAAAUCCUGCCUGAAAAACAAAGCCAGCCCCACUGCAGCCGGGGAUUCCCUGGCAAAGCCUCAGCCCGGCAGCCUGGUCAGGGCGGCGCAGACCCGCAGGGAGGCAAAGGGGUCAGCACCUGCAGUGGAGACUCCCGUGUACCCCACAAGCCCGGCAGCUGCCGCCAAGGGCUGCAGAGGCGGCUGGGGAGGAGGACGGUAGGCGGCGCCCCCUGAACAUCUGGCGACUUCUGCCCACUCCUGGACAGCUGUGUGCGGCUCUCAAAUUUCAACCCACCUCUCUCCUCCCCCGCAGCUGGCUGUGUCCACUCCUGGAUCCACCCCAGGGCCCGGGCAAGGGGGACAGGAGGCACAGAGUGCGGGGGAUGGGGUGGGGGUGGCCCGUGGGCUGGGAGGAGGCCCUCGGGGGUUUCUGUCCUGCUCCAAUCCCUGGGGCACCUGGUGGCUGUGAACCUGACAUGGCAUCUGAGAUCCAUGUCUUGAGGGGCCUGCCAUGCUGCAUCCACCUUGGCCCCUGCACCGGGCCCCCUUUGGGGUCCAGAGCACCUUACUGCCUAAGCCCUGCCUGCUCCCAGGGUGCAGGGUGGAAUCCGAUGGGGACCUGAGCUGAAGGUGCUGUGCUGGCAGCUUGAGGGGGCAGGACCCCAGGACCCCAGGACCACCCUGCAGGGUGAGGCCCCUCCUCUAUCCCCUUCCUUCCCUCUGACCCCUACCAAGCUGAAAGUGCCAGCCCGAGUGUUGUUCAGGCCUCUGGGCUCCAGGCAGGCUGGCUGGAAACAGGCACAAGAUGUUUGUCCAGGUGCUUGGCUGGGCCUGGAGGAAGGAGGAAGGGGAGGAAGGGCCAGAGCGGGCAGAAGCCCAGUCAGCAGCUGGCCUCGCCCUCCACACCUCCAGAGGCAGGCAGCGCCUGUGGGCCACAUCGCACCUGCUGAACAACAGGACUGUGCUGUGUGGGGACCUGGCCUGCACAGAGGUGUGCAGACGUGGGAAGGCGGACGGACACCUGUGGGCACCUAGAGGGAGCAGCUCUGGAGCGGGGAGAAAAUAGUUCUCUGUUGCUAUGCCGCUAGCCAGUGGAAUUUGUCACGGCAGCCAUCUGACCCCAGAACCUCUCUGCCUGCAGUGAGAGUGGCCGGCACCCGCCCCCAACAGAGCCCAUUUCUUCUCCUCAGGGCGCUGCCUCUCAGCACCCAGGUCUGGGCCUGGGGUGGUGGCACUAGCCUGCAGCUCCAGCCCUCUGGGAGGCUGAGGCAGGAGGAUUGGAAGUGCGAACCCAGCCUGGGCAACUUAGC
Long non-coding RNA from Heterocephalus glaber (naked mole-rat), 6378 nucleotides. RefSeq lists it as uncharacterized. The record is from RefSeq and is a predicted model, not a curated record. NCBI's taxonomy places the organism in Eukaryota, Metazoa, Chordata, Mammalia, Rodentia, Bathyergidae.